This 26-nucleotide non-coding RNA is filed under the name Mus musculus (house mouse). The record is from RNAcentral. Lineage: Eukaryota; Metazoa; Chordata; Mammalia; Rodentia; Muridae.
AGCUGGAAUGAAGGUUGAGACAGUGC